CAGCAGCCGCGGUAAUACGUAGGUGGCAAGCGUUAUCCGGAAUUAUUGGGCGUAAAGCGCGCGCAGGUGGUUUCUUAAGUCUGAUGUGAAAGCCCACGGCUCAACCGUGGAGGGUCAUUGGAACUGGGAGACUUGAGUGCAGAAGAGGAAAGUGGAAUUCCAUGUGUAGCGGUGAAAUGCGUAGAGAUAUGGAGGAACACCAGUGGCGAAGGCGACUUUCUGGUCUGUAACUGACACUGAGGCGCGAAAGCGUGGGGAGCAAACAGGAUUAGAUACCCUGGUAGUCCACGCCGUAAACGAUGAGUGCUAAGUGUUAGAGGGUUUCCGCCCUUUAGUGCUGAAGUUAACGCAUUAAGCACUCCGCCUGGGGAGUACGGCCGCAAGGCUGAAACUCAAAGGAAUUGACGGG
Molecule: ribosomal RNA, 409 nt
Filed under: Bacillus cereus
Lineage: Bacteria; Bacillati; Bacillota; Bacilli; Caryophanales; Bacillaceae
Description: bacterial SSU rRNA
Rfam family: Bacterial small subunit ribosomal RNA
Source: RNAcentral